UGUGAUGGGGAGCGAAAUUUAGUAGCGAAGUAGCUGAUUUCACACUGUCAAGAAAAGUCUCUAUCGAGGUUAAAGGUACCCGUACCGCAAACCGACACAGGUGGGUGAGGAGAGUAUCCUAAGGCCAGCGAGAGAACUGUUGUUAAGGAACUCGGCAAAAUGACCCCGUAACUUAGGGAUAAGGGGUGCCACCAUCAGGUGGCCGCAGAGAAUAGGCCCAAGCGACUGUUUACCAAAAACAUAGG
RNAcentral lists this ribosomal RNA (245 nucleotides) under Clostridioides difficile. RNAcentral describes it as "partial 23S ribosomal RNA". It matches the Rfam family "Bacterial large subunit ribosomal RNA", at positions 1562 to 1819 of the family's 2925-position model. The record is from RNAcentral. Lineage: Bacteria; Bacillati; Bacillota; Clostridia; Peptostreptococcales; Peptostreptococcaceae.